Molecule: long non-coding RNA, 1127 nt
Filed under: Salmo salar (Atlantic salmon)
Lineage: Eukaryota; Metazoa; Chordata; Actinopteri; Salmoniformes; Salmonidae
Description: lncRNA (ENSSSAG00000095742.1, ENSSSAG00075017583.1)
Source: RNAcentral
CUGGCUGUUGCUUCUCGUGCCCUAGACGUGCACAGACAGCUGAAGGAGACUCAUUUAUUUAGUUCCUUCACUCAUCUAUUUUCCUCCCCCCUCUGCCUGCCUGGCUGACUGGGCUCACACUCUCUCUGUGAGUGAGGGUGUGUGUGUGAGAGUGCGUUUGUCUCAGGCUGAGGUGGAGUGUACGCUGUGCAGGCUGUGGAGUGGAUCUCUACUCUUCCUUUCCCAGUAGAAUAUUGGAUGAGAAUAGUGGAAGUCUCUCUUUCUUUCUCCUACCUCUGACUAUAGACUGUCGCCUGUGCUGCAUCCAUGACUUUACAUGCUUGGCUGGUGUAUGGGCUUGGAUUUACUAUGAUAUCUUAUUUUUUCAUCACACAAGUCAAUGGGCUGCAGUGCUAUGGCUGUAACAUCAUCCAGGGCCAGAGGUACGUGGACAUUGGAUGCUCUAACCCAGAGGUCAUCACCUGCACCCACUCACACAAGGGCUUCAAACAUCGCUUCUGCAUCAAGACAGAGAGCACAGCCCUGGGAAUUGUCCUGACCAGUGGAUGUGCCACAUCAAGACACUGCCAGCAACAAGAGCUGCCUGGAGUGCGCAUCCACUGCUGCACCUCAGACCUGUGUAACAGCACCCCCUGCUGUCGAGCGAGCACAUUGCAUUACAUCUACGCACUGGGAAGCUUGCUGCUGCUGAGGUUGUGGUUGUGAUAUGAGGUCACACAACUUGUACUUGGACAGAUGGAACUCUGGAUAAACCAUCUAUGAAUGACACUGUACAUGGCUAGUUCUCAGUGUCUCUUCUCAGCUCCAUGUGUUAAGGGUCUGAGACUGAGAGGAGGGUUGUACAAUACUGUACAUCAGAGCAGGUUUUGUGAAGAUGAAUUUUCGCUGGGCUUCUUAUCCCAAUGUCAGAAACAAAGGAAAAUAACUAAGCCAAGGUUCCCAUAAUUCAUUAUUAUGAUGAUUUUAUAAAGUUAUUAAAUCAGUUCAGGAAGUGUCCCAGAGAGUAAUGUUCAUUUAAAACCAUCAGUAUGGCUAGCAAUGGCUGUAUGGCUUUCUAAGAUGCACGUUGCAUGUGGCUUUUAUUUCAGAUUGUAAGAUGGUAAGAAAUAAUGUACAGUGAAAGUGAA